UUCUCCCUAAAUCCUUUUCACACGAAGUGGCACUGGUCAAAAUAAUGUAGAACACGAGGUCUUCCUUUGAGAUCAAUCAAAUCAGGCAAGAGAAAAUCCUCUGAAGUCAACAAAAUAUACAGUGCAUCUCUCUGCUCCUUGUCAAGUACCUCAGAUCUGCAUGUGAGGAUGGCCUAAAGCCCUGCUAACAGACUUCAAGAAGAAGCAAAAAAACAGCACGAGUAAAAUAUUAACAAAGAAGACCACAUUUGCUAAUCAUGUGGGAGUUGUAAUCACUUUUAAAGGAAAGCUUUAAGCCAUGUCAGACCUAAUGAGGCAUCUUUCAUUUAAUAUACUCAAAUGACUGAGCUGGUUUUACAUUGCGAGCUUCAAGGUGGGGAGGUAAUAAAAUAUCUUUAUCGCUAAUGACACAACAAAAACAACAACAAAGCUCCACAAUACAUAGUUAUG
This 450-nucleotide long non-coding RNA is filed under the name Chinchilla lanigera (long-tailed chinchilla). RNAcentral describes it as "lncRNA (ENSCLAG00000026272.1)". The record is from RNAcentral. Lineage: Eukaryota; Metazoa; Chordata; Mammalia; Rodentia; Chinchillidae.